RNAcentral lists this long non-coding RNA (2890 nucleotides) under Anthonomus grandis grandis. RNAcentral describes it as "uncharacterized LOC126740630". The record is from RNAcentral. Lineage: Eukaryota; Metazoa; Arthropoda; Insecta; Coleoptera; Curculionidae.
AUUCUGUUUUCUGUUGUUGUUAUAAUAAAUGUUAUUAUAUUAAAAAAGGUCAUGGUAAGUAAGUACUUAUAUUUAUUUUAUUUCUAUAUCUUAUAAAUGUAACUUGUAUUUUAGCGCAUAAAAUAUGGAUAAAGAACAAGUAUGUGGUAAUUGCAACAAAUCAUUUUAUGAUAUUUCAAACAUACGAAGGCAUAUAAAAAAAUUUCAUGAAAAUGAUGCCUUAUUAUUACCUUCGUAUAAGUAAUAAAACGAAAAUGCUUAUGCUUAUACCUGCAAUUGUGGCAAAAAUUUCUCAAGGAAAAACCUGUUUACUUAUCACUUAAAAAGUCAUUCAAAAGAUGGUGAAUCUUCUAACAUAAAUGUGCAGGGGCAAAAAUGUCCAAUAUGUAAUUUUACUUGCACUUCUGAACAAGAUCUUCAUAAACAUUUUACAAGUUGUCAUGAUAUACCUAUUAAGCAGGAGCUUUUAACAUUUGAAACUUUCGAAGAUUUUGAGAGUUUUAAAAACAACUUUGAAAAUGAGACUGGGUCUAGGAUUAUAAUACUCCGAAGUAAAACAUCAUCAUCAGGCAAAUAUGCAAAGUAUGCUUGUAACAGGUCUGCUGGCUACAAUCCAUCACUUCAAAAUCGUAAACGUCAUUUGAAGACCCAAGGUACCAAUAAACCUGCCCUGCAGGGAUUAUCCUUUCGGGAGGUGAUGAUAUAAAAUGGACCUGUAAAAUUAUAAAAAAUCAUGUAGGGCAUAACAAAGAUUUGGGCCAUUUAAAUUUAAGCUCCUUGGAAAAGAAAAUAUGUGCGGAAAAAAUUGCUUCAAAAGUACCCUUUCAAGUGAUUCUGAAUGAUAUCAGAGACUCCGUGUCUGACUCAAAAUUGCAAAGAUUGCAGCUGUUCACUCGAAAAGACCUUUUUAACAUUGAAAAGUCGUCCAAUUUAUGUUCAGAAGCCAUAAGGCAUAACAAUGAUGCAACAAGUGUCCAGACAAAAGAAGAAGGAAACAUGUGUAUAUUAUUUUACAAAUUCCAAGACACUGUUAUUGAAGAGCACCCUGAAUUAAAACAAGAUGACUUUGUCCUCAUUAUAAUGAAUCAGGCUCAAUGUGAAAUAUUACAAAAGGUUUGUUCAGAUUGUGUAUGUUUGGAUAGCAUACAUAGCAUGAACAUGUAUGACUUCCAGUUAACAACUUUAAUGAUAAUUGACGAUAUGCGCCAAGGGUUUCCUUGUGCCUUUCUACUUUCAAAUAGAGUGGACAAGGAAAUUCUAAAACUAUUUUUUUCUUAUGGAAGAAACCAUUUUGAUGUCAUAGCUCCUCGGGUUCUUAUGACCGAUAUUGCUGAUUCGUUUUACAAUGCUUGGAUUGAAGUAAUGCAUAAGCCAGUUAUGAGAUAAUAUUCAAAUUUUGUUUUUAUUGUAUUACCUACAUAGAGUUUAUAUUUUACAGACUCUAUUGUUCCUGGCAUAUUCGAUCAAGCUUGGAGGAAAACUUCCAAAGAUCAGAAAUAAAGAAAAACAGGUUUGCUUUUAUGCAGAUGUAUGAAUGUAGGAUACACAAUAUGCAAUUUUAAAUAUGUUUAUUCCUUUACAGGAGGCUUCUAUUGGUGGUGGCCCACAAAUGCCUGUGUUUAUUUUUUAAUUGUCAAUUUUUCCUAAAAAUACCUCCUACUUUAUUUGAUUUUAUUAAAAUUUUCAAAAUAAAGAAGAAACAUAACAUCAUAUUAUUUAUUUAAAAUAGUAACAUUUCGACGAUUCUUGCGCUAAUUGAAUAAAAGCUCAUGCAAAUUUUUGUUGUAGACGAUUAAUGAAAGCCUUUCACGAAGGAAUUUUUCAAAAAUAUUGAGAUCUAUAAAUUAUUAAGAAAUCUUAUGGAAGAGAGAGACAUUACAGACCUUAGUAAAAUUAGAGAUAAGUUUUGUCAAAAAAUAUUGGAAGAUCCAGAUACCCAAGAAUUUGGAGAGUAUUUUACAAAAUAUUAUACCAAGAAUUGUGAAUCAUGGGCUUAUUGCUUUAGAUUAAAUUCAGGAUUAAACACUAAUAUGCACCUAGAACGGAUGCACGGGACAUUAAAACAUAUAUACCUUGGUGGAAAACGAGUCAAAAGACUAGAUAAGGCAAUAUAUGCCAUAAUGAAGUUUAUAAAAGACAUGUUAUUUGACAGAAUAAUUAUUUUAAACAAAGGUAAAAUUACCAGCAAAAUAUGAGAUAUUCGUAAUAGACAUAAAAAUAGUCUCAAGUUAAAUCCUGACUUAUUGGUACAAUCCAGUGAUGGGUGGGAAGUUCCAUCUUCAAAAUUUGGAGAAAUUUACUAUAUUAAAGAGUUUAACUUGACUUGUAAGUGCCAGUUAGUAAAAUAAAAUAUAUAAUAAUAAUAUAAAAUAUCUGGUUUGGUACCAGAUAUUGCAUCUGAUUCAAGAAGAAAAUUCUUUAGUAAUAGCAUCUGAAGACGAAGCAAAAAUAGAAACGGAUAUUUUAGCUAUCCAUGUUACCAGUAGUAAUAAGAACAAUAGUGAAAAUGCCAAUAUUACUAAGGAACUUGAAAAAGUCAAGCAUGAGAUUCUUAAUUCACUUUUAAAUGUAAAAACAAUGGCUCAGCUUGAAGUGGUGAAAAAAUGUAUUAGACCAAUAAAACCAAAACUAAAAACCCUAGAAGAUUAUUCAUCUCGAUCCCAAAUCAACAGUAAACGCCAACCUUUAGUUCCAGCGAAUAAAAAUAUAUUGCCUCAAAGGCGAUUUUAUGCUACAAAAAAAACAAAGCAAUUCAAAAAAGCUUCCGUUAAAAGACCCUCAUUGCGAAGCACAAAACAUGACCUUAUCACUCAUAGGUAAUGUGAAUUUUGUAAACCAUUUGUAAAUCAUUUUUACAACAAAAUAAAAGAAAAUACAUUUUUUUGUUAAU